Molecule: ribosomal RNA, 253 nt
Filed under: uncultured bacterium
Lineage: Bacteria
Description: partial 16S ribosomal RNA
Rfam family: Bacterial small subunit ribosomal RNA
Source: RNAcentral
UACAGAGGGUGCGAGCGUUAAUCGGAAUUACUGGGCGUAAAGCGCACGUAGUCGGCUUUGCAAGUCGGGUGUGAAAUCCCCGGGCUCAACCUGGGAACUGCAUCCGAGACUGCAUUGCUAGAGUAUGGGAGAGGGAAGCGGAAUUCCUGGUGUAGCGGUGAAAUGCGCAGAUAUCAGGAGGAACACCGGUGGCGAAGGCGGGUCUCUGGGCCGAUACUGACGCUGAGGAGCGAAAGCGUGGGGAGCGAACAGG